UACGAAGGGGGCUAGCGUUGCUCGGAAUUACUGGGCGUAAAGCGCACGUAGGCGGACCGAUAAGUCGGGGGUGAAAUCCUGGAGCUCAACUCCAGAACUGCCUUCGAAACUGCCGGUCUUGAGUUCGGGAGAGGUGAGUGGAACUGCGAGUGUAGAGGUGAAAUUCGUAGAUAUCUGCAGGAACACCCGUGGCGAAAGCGGCGCGCUGGACCACUACUGACGCUGAGGAACGAAAGCUAGGGGAGCAAACAGG
This 253-nucleotide ribosomal RNA is filed under the name uncultured bacterium. RNAcentral describes it as "partial 16S ribosomal RNA". It matches the Rfam family "Bacterial small subunit ribosomal RNA", at positions 524 to 776 of the family's 1533-position model. The record is from RNAcentral.